This 727-nucleotide ribosomal RNA is filed under the name uncultured fungus. RNAcentral's name for it is "SSU rRNA". It matches the Rfam family "Eukaryotic small subunit ribosomal RNA", at positions 329 to 1060 of the family's 1831-position model. The record is from RNAcentral. Lineage: Eukaryota; Fungi.
UAGGAUAGAGGCCUACCAUGGUGGUAACGGGUAACGGGGUGUUAGGGCACGACACCGGAGAGGGAGCCUGAGAAACGGCUACCACAUCCAAGGAUGGCAGCAGGCGCGCAAAUUACCCAAUCCCGACACGGGGAGGUAGUGACAAUAAAUAACAAUACGGGGUUCUUUAGGAUCUCGUAAUUGGAAUGAGUACAAUUUAAAUCUCUUAACGAGGAACAAUUGGUGGGCAAGUCUGGUGCCAGCAGCCGCGGUAAUUCCAGCUCCAAUAGCGUAUAUUAAAGUUGUUGCAGUUAAAAAGCUCGUAGUUGAAUUUCGGGGUUAGUAGGUUGGUCAUGCCUCUGGUAUGUACUGGUCUCACUGAUUCCUCCUUCCUUAUGAACCGUAAUGCCAUUAAUUUGGUGUUGCGGGGAAUUUGGACUGUUACUUUGAAAAAAUUAGAGUGUUUAAAGCAAGCUAACGCUUGAAUACAUUAGCAUGGAAUAAUGAAAUAGGACGUUCGAUCUUAUUUUGUUGGUUUCUAGGAUUGACGUAAUGAUUAAUAGGGAUAGUUGGGGGCAUUAGUAUUCAAUUGUCAGAGGUGAAAUUCUUGGAUUUAUUGAAGACUAACUACUGCGAAAGCAUUUGCCAAGGAUGUUUUCAUUAACCAAGAACGAAAGUUAGGGGAUCGAAGACGAUCAGAUACCGUCGUAGUCUUAACCAUAAACUAUGCCGACUAGGGAUCGGAUGA